UGUUUCUUCGUAAUUUCUCCCUCAAUUCCUCUUCUCCAUCACCCUCACUAAAUUUCAUCUUUAUCGUUAUUUAGAACUUCACAUUGAAUUUUUAAAAUGGUGGAACUUAGCCAUCAACAACUUCUAUAUUAUCAUCAACAAUUCAAGCAUUAUCAUCAAAAAUCAUCCAUCAACAAUUUCUACAUUAUCGUCAACAAUCAUCA
Molecule: long non-coding RNA, 203 nt
Filed under: Lathyrus oleraceus (garden pea)
Lineage: Eukaryota; Viridiplantae; Streptophyta; Magnoliopsida; Fabales; Fabaceae
Description: Pisum sativum (pea) long non-coding RNA (PSAT_LNC036203)
Source: RNAcentral